GCACAUUUUUGUAUAAUCAUGAAAAUAACAAGCUGUUAAACAUUGCUUUGAGAACAUAACAUGCUAGUGUAAGUAGGCAUAUUAAAAAUGAGACGUGAGUUUAAUCUAACAUGCUAAUCUAACCACAGGCUGAGUUAAGACAUACUGUGUUGGCUGUAGCGUGGUUCAAGUAGGCCAGGCUAAUGCCGAUCGCUUAUAUAACAUAACACAUCAUGCCAGUGUGAUUAGGCGUGUCAAAAGUUAAACGUAAGUUUGAUAAAACAUGCCAAAUUAACAUGCUAAACUAAUAACAGGCUGAGUUAAGACAUACUGUG
This is a non-coding RNA of Pelobates cultripes (western spadefoot toad), 314 nucleotides long. The record is from the annotation of a GenBank genome assembly. NCBI's taxonomy places the organism in Eukaryota, Metazoa, Chordata, Amphibia, Anura, Pelobatidae.